RNAcentral lists this unclassified non-coding RNA (192 nucleotides) under soil metagenome. Its description in RNAcentral is "partial contains 5.8S ribosomal RNA, internal transcribed spacer 2, and large subunit ribosomal RNA". The record is from RNAcentral.
AAGACUAUAGACCUGCGGAGUACCUGCGGAGGGAUCAUUACAGAGUUCGCGCCCCCUGGGCGGACCUCCAACCCAUUGUUAUUGCUACGAUUGUUGCUUUGGCGGGCUCGCCCGCCAGAGGCCCUGUAGACUCUGGAUAUGAACGUCGUCUGAGUACUAUAUAAUCGCUAAAACUUUCAACAACGGAUCUCU